AAUGGAAUGGCUGGCUCAUAUGUAUAAUUUAUCAACUUUUAAAGAGCUGCCAAACUGUUUUCCAAAGUGGUUGUACCAUUUUACAUUAUGACUAGUAGCUGU
RNAcentral lists this microRNA precursor (102 nucleotides) under Marmota monax (woodchuck). The record is from RNAcentral. Lineage: Eukaryota; Metazoa; Chordata; Mammalia; Rodentia; Sciuridae.